GCCUCAGCAAUUUAUCCAAGAUAUUUGACAUAGUUAAAGGAAAGAGGGGAGACAGAGGAACAUGAAUAGAAGGGGAGGGGAGAGAGAAGGCAGGUCCUGUUAGCUAAAUAUUUUGGGAGUCUCUUUUGUAGAAGUCACUUUCAAGUUCUUGCCUCCUAGCCAAGAAAACAAAAAAGCAUGUUGUGCCCAGUCAUGUAUAUUAAAUCAGUGUGAGAAUCCCAUGCCAACUUCCUAUUUCUGAGCCAUGGCAUGCGUGGGAUGGGAAGCCAGGAAGUGGCUCCCCUUCCCCCUUUCUAUUCCUGUCUCUGUCAUAGGUGACCUUGGGCAAGACGCCACUUCCCUCAGCACUGUGGUUUGCGUCUUCCUCUCCCAGCGUCUCAGACCAAGGCCUUCAAGGGCACGAAGAGGCAGCUGAGAGAGACAAAGGGGUGGGUGGAGGCAGCAAAGAGCUAGUGGCUCCUCCUCGGGUCAAAAAAACUUAGCCACUCUCCUCCAGAAGCCACUGGGCGGGCAAGAAGCAAGAGUCCAGAGACAGGAAGCCACGCCAAAGAAAGACUUGAGCGGUGGCCUGCCCACCUGCCGUUCAUCUGUCAUUCUGUCCCACGACACAGGCACACCCUGAAACGUGAAAUGGCACUCCAGGCCACAGCCAAUUUAACUGAAAGGUACUGAUAAACUAAUCCAUAGAGAGAAUAUAGGCUGUGGGGGCAGGGAUCUUAAUUAUGCUCCAUGCACCGUGUAAUCUCCACCAAGAAUAAAUGCCCAAAGUCUGCAAAACAGCGGGAAAGUCACAUUCCCUGAUCUGAAUAAAUUAUGCAAAUUAAGCGAGCGGCUUAGUUUUUCCAUACUUUUAGCUAACGUCAGUGAGACAUUUUCAAAUGAUCUGAUUAUCCCCUUUUUGCAAGGAAGACUCGAGGAAGGGAGAGCGGAAAGACAUGGAGAAACUCGGAAGGUGUUCUCGAAAGCAAAGAGGAAUAGAAACAAACCCCAGCUGAAUCAGGGUGCCUUGGGAGUGUUUUGGUGCUUCCCUGAGAGAGGAGGGAUCUGUAUGAGGCCCCCGCAAGCUGAAGUAGGGAACGCUCCCUCCCUCUGAAACCUUGUGGUGCUUUGCUUGCUCAGUCACAACAAACAAACCCUGCUAUUUUUUGCAAAAAGCAAAACCAAGCUUACAGAAUACACCCUUGGUUGAGAGGGAGGAAUCGUCCAAGGUGGCUGACAGGUCUAACUUUUAAUCAGAGGCAAUUACCGUAUUUUUUGCUCUAUAAGACUCACUUUUUCCCUCCUAAAAAGUAAGGGGAAAUGUGUGUGCGUCUUAUGGAGCGAAUGAAGGCUGUGCAGCUAUCCCAAAAGCCAGAACAGCAAGAGGGAUUGCUGCUUUCACUGCGCAGCGAUCCCUCUUGCUGUUCUGGCUUCUGAGAUUCAGAAUAUUUUUUUUCUUGUUUUCCUCCUCCAAAAACUAGGUGCGUCUUGUGGUCUGGUGCGUCUUACAGAGCGAAAAAUGCGGUAUUUUAUCAGGAAUCCCCAGUCACAGUGCUUUUUGCGGAAGGACACUGACUCAAACAAAUGUUUGUCUCACGUGCUCACUGCUCUUUGGCUAGUUCUGCCUCUCCCGAGCUCUCAGGUCUAAUCCAGCAGGGCCCUCCUUAAAUUCCAAUCACUGGGUGAAAGGAGAGUAAAUGAAGGAGUUACUUAUGCAGUAAAACUGACCAAGAUACAGCUCACCAGCUACAUGUACCUGGACCACUUAAACCACACGGAUUCUGGAACUUUCUAUCAGCUGUUAAGUGACAGUUAGAAGCAGGUGGAGUUCUGAAUCUUGGCACAUGGCUAGUGCCACCCCACUGUGAAGCUAUAGAGGAGAGGUGUGAAGCUAUUAACACAUUGAUUGUUCCUUCCAACCUUUCCUCUCUACUAGCUAGAAUAAUGUUCAGCGAGUUCAGAGAAUGGAGGAUUCCAUUUAAUGGUAAAUUCCAUUGCUGAACAAGCUGUUUAGGUGCUUUUAUUUUUAAAUUAUUUUUUGGUGUUACUGUGAUUACAUUGUAUUUCUAUUGCCUUUUAUCCUAGCCUCCCUCCCAGGAACUUAAGUCGAUCAUUGUUCUCCCGUAUUUUAUCCCUACAGCAAACCUGCGAGGUAGUCUGAAUCAAGGCUGCCCAGUGAACUACAGGGCCGAAUGGGAAUUUUGUCUGGGUUUCCUACAGCCGGGCUGGUUCCAGACCACACUCUAACCACUCUACCACAUUGCUCUGAGCUCUAUAAAUGCAUACAUGGGAAGAGAACGAAGGGGAAAUUGAAGAGUAUGUGUAUACGGUGCAUAUCUCAAGGAAACUGUGGUUUCUAAUUAUCCCCCUCCCCUUCCUACAGCCCAGAGUUUUUCUCUUUUGAGUUCUUACAGCAAAGUUAAAAGAACAAAUCCGCCAAACGAUAGGUAGAAGAACAACAAUGCAAUGCACACUUCAGUGUACUUUGGUGUAACUCAGCUAUCUUUCAUGCACUGAGCUUGAAUGAGGCAGGGAGACGAGCAGGCUAAUGGAUCUGAAAGAAGCAUAUAGGGCUGACAUGAACACAUUAGAUAGCUGUUUAAUGAGCCACGUGAGAAGUGACAGAACAAGAUUCUUUCAAGAUUGGUUGUGUAUGGCAGGGAAACCUGUGACCAAAUAUUGUGGGACGACUUCAGCCCCUGCUGAAGGCUAAUGGUAAGGAAUGACAGGAACUGUGUUCCUACAGCACUGAGAAAGCCAUGGGUUCCCCAGCCCUGGUCUGCUGUCCGUGUGCCAUUGUACCUUGAAUAAAAUUUUAAUAAGAUCAGGCUGGUGCUCAGAAGUUAAAUACAAAGCUUUCUGAUACAAACUUGUUAGUGCCUUUGUUGCAGACAACAGCCUAUCAUUCCAUAGUCUAUGUUUGUGCGAAUGAGUGGCUUUAAUUAUUCCUCCCAACUGGGGUAGCUGUGUGUGGUUU
This is a non-coding RNA of Podarcis lilfordi (Lilford's wall lizard), 2956 nucleotides long. Lineage: Eukaryota; Metazoa; Chordata; Lepidosauria; Squamata; Lacertidae. The record is from the annotation of a GenBank genome assembly.